UGUGGACUCUUAGGUGUCUGU
Molecule: non-coding RNA, 21 nt
Filed under: Arabidopsis thaliana (thale cress)
Lineage: Eukaryota; Viridiplantae; Streptophyta; Magnoliopsida; Brassicales; Brassicaceae
Source: RNAcentral